UCGCAUCUAUGUUUCAAGACAUGUUGUAUUUAAUGAAUUGGAUUUUCCUUUCAAAAAGUUUCAGUCUACAUCUUCCCCUUUUGUUAUUUUUUAUCCUAUAUUUAAUAUUUUUUUUUUCUGUUUCUUCUUUUCCCUCUACCACCAGUCCACAAUCCUCAUCUACAUCCUUCCAAUUUGGACCAUUUUCUCCUAUUGCUCCAUUAUUUCUUCUUCG
This 214-nucleotide long non-coding RNA is filed under the name Vitis vinifera (wine grape). Its description in RNAcentral is "long non-coding RNA (VVIN_LNC006741)". Lineage: Eukaryota; Viridiplantae; Streptophyta; Magnoliopsida; Vitales; Vitaceae. The record is from RNAcentral.